UAGGGAAUAUUGCACAAUGGGCGAAAGCCUGAUGCAGCAACGCCGCGUGCGCGAUGACGGCCUUCGGGUUGUAAAGCGCUUUUCGUGGAGAUGAGGAAGGACAGUAUCCCCGGAAUAAGUCUCGUCUAACUACGUGCCAUCAGCCGCGGUAACACGUAGGAGCCAAGCGUUAUCCGAAUUCACUGCGCGUAAAGCUCGUGUAGUCGGCUUGGCAAGUUGGAUGUGAAAGCUCCUUGCUCAACUGGGAGAGGACGUUCAAUACUGCCGGGCUAGAGGGCGACAGAGGGAGGUGGAAUUCCCGGUGUAGUGGUGAAAUGCGUAGAUAUCGGGAGGAACACCAGUGGCGAAAGCGGCCUCCUGGGUCGCACCUGACGCUCAGACGCGAAAGCUAGGGGAGCGAACGG
This 404-nucleotide ribosomal RNA is filed under the name uncultured bacterium. RNAcentral's name for it is "bacterial SSU rRNA". It matches the Rfam family "Bacterial small subunit ribosomal RNA", at positions 355 to 775 of the family's 1533-position model. The record is from RNAcentral.